Molecule: long non-coding RNA, 406 nt
Organism: Xenopus laevis (African clawed frog)
Lineage: Eukaryota; Metazoa; Chordata; Amphibia; Anura; Pipidae
Exons: 2
Source: RefSeq, a predicted model, not a curated record
UCUUGGCCGUGUAUCGGCUACAUUUCCCACGUGCCCUCUUUAUAAACAGCCGACGGCCAUGCUAGUAUCCGAGGCAACUGUCAGUCAUUGCUGAGUUACUAUGUGAUGUCACAUUUAUUUGUGUGAGGGGCUCACAAGUAAUUGUGGAAUUGAGUGAAAGUCAUGGGGGAAUCCCUAUUAUCAAUGAAGCAGAUGAAAAGCCUGGAGAUGUGGAUCAGAGAACAUGAGGCCUCAGGAGCUGCAGGUGAGACAGAACUUUCCUCCUCUUCUUACACUGCAGUACCUGCGAGAGCCACAAGAGGGAGACACGAGAAGCUUUAUUAGCUGACUGCACAGGACAUCUAUACAACUGUCACUCAAUAUUUACUGCAAUUGUCUGCAGCUCUGAACAUGAUAUAUUGUAUUA